UCCGCGUCCUCGGGCUCCUCCCACUCGCGCUCGCGCUCCCGCUCCCUCUCGUCGUCCUCCUUGUCGCCGCUCCCCUCCCACCGCCAAGCGCAGGUUCUGCAAACGGUCUUUUACUGCACUUGACUGAAGAAGUAGGUGUCUGCUAUAUCCUGCACUUGAGCGAUGCCGUCGUAUGUCGUGUACAAGGGUAAGGUUCCCGG
Molecule: long non-coding RNA, 200 nt
Organism: Triticum dicoccoides
Lineage: Eukaryota; Viridiplantae; Streptophyta; Magnoliopsida; Poales; Poaceae
Exons: 3
Source: RefSeq, a predicted model, not a curated record